RNAcentral lists this ribosomal RNA (238 nucleotides) under uncultured bacterium. Its description in RNAcentral is "partial 16S ribosomal RNA". It matches the Rfam family "Bacterial small subunit ribosomal RNA", at positions 18 to 244 of the family's 1533-position model. The record is from RNAcentral.
CCUGGCUCAGGAUGAACGCUAGCGACAGGCUUAACACAUGCAAGUCGAGGGGAAACGACAUCGAAAGCUUGCUUCCGAUGGGCGUCGACCCGGCGCACGGGUGAGUAACGCGUAUCCAACCUGCCCACCACUUGGGGAUAACCUUGCGAAAGUAAGACUAAUACCCAAUGAUAUCUCUAGAAGACAUCUGAAAGAGAUUAAAGAUUUAUCGGUGAUGGAUGGGGAUGCGUCUGAUUAG